UACGUAGGGUGCAAGCGUUCUCCGGAUUUAUUGGGUUUAAAGGGUCCGUAGGCGUCUCUGUAAGUCCGUUGUGAAAUCUCACAGCUUAACUGUGAAACUGCCAUUGAUACUGCAGGUCUUGAGUAAGGUAGAAGUGGCUGGAAUAAGUAGUGUAGCGGUGAAAUGCAUAGAUAUUACUUAGAACACCAAUUGCGAAGGCAGGUCACUACACAGUUAUUGACGCUGAGGCACGAAAGCGUGGGGAUCAAACAGG
This 253-nucleotide ribosomal RNA is filed under the name uncultured bacterium. Its description in RNAcentral is "partial 16S ribosomal RNA". It matches the Rfam family "Bacterial small subunit ribosomal RNA", at positions 524 to 776 of the family's 1533-position model. The record is from RNAcentral.